UUCAUCCGAGUUGGAGUUGCGGCAGGCCUCCUUUGAUCUUUAAAAACGCAUUUUCAAAAAGCAGUAAAAGACCCUCUUGACCCACCGAUUCAGCGCUUUUUCCGACUGAGUGUGUGAGAGAUCGCAGGUCGAGAGGAUGACAGCUGGAGUGUGCUGCUCGUUGAUUGCUGCUUUAUUGUGUCUCUCUGUGUACUUGAGCACAACAGAUGCUGAAGGAGCAGCCACAGAACCAGAAAAGCCAGGAGUGUGUCCUAGAAACAAUGUUGAAGAAGCAUUGUUAGGAGUGUGUGCGGAGAUGUGUUCUCAUGACAGUGACUGUCCAGACGAUCAGAAAUGCUGCAGCAAUGGAUGUGGACAUCAGUGUAUGCCUCCAUAUAAAG
Molecule: long non-coding RNA, 380 nt
Organism: Sinocyclocheilus grahami
Lineage: Eukaryota; Metazoa; Chordata; Actinopteri; Cypriniformes; Cyprinidae
Exons: 2
Source: RefSeq, a predicted model, not a curated record